GUGCAGCAGUCGCGAAAACUCCGCAAUACGCGAGAGCGUGACGGGGCCAUCCCGAGUGCCGUCCGCUGAGGAUGGCUUUUCCUCAGUCUAUAUAGCUGGGGGAAUAAGGAGAGGGCAAGUCUGGUGUCAGCCACCGCGGUAAUACCAGCUCUCCGAGUGGUGGGGAUGUUUAUUGGGCUUAAAGCAUCCGUAGCUGGCUGGGCAAGUCCCCGGUUAAAUCUAACGAUUUAAUCGGUGGAUUGCGGGGGAUACUGUUCGGCUAGGAGGCGGGAGAGGCCGACGGUAUUCCCGGGGUAGGGGUGAAAUCCUAUAAUCCCGGGAGGACCAGCAGUGGCGAAGGCUGUCGGCUAGAACGCGCUCGACGGUGAGGGAUGAAAGCUGGGGGAGCGAACCGGAUUAGAUACCCGGGUAGUCC
RNAcentral lists this ribosomal RNA (415 nucleotides) under uncultured crenarchaeote. RNAcentral describes it as "partial 16S ribosomal RNA". It matches the Rfam family "Archaeal small subunit ribosomal RNA", at positions 330 to 747 of the family's 1478-position model. The record is from RNAcentral. Lineage: Archaea; Thermoproteati; Thermoproteota.